UGCAGGUCAUGCAGACAAAGCAGUCGACAUGGAAGACCUGGUCCAUGGCAGUACAGCCGGUGCCUUCACCCACUACGUUCUCUCCACAGCUGGCACAGCGCCCUGGGGAGAGGAAGAGGAGGUCCUCUGAAUGAGGCCUGCUAGUUGUACCUCGUUCACGACUGAGAACACGAGGGGACUGUGUGUUCGCUGUCCUGGGUCCCUGGCUGUGGAACAGCCUCCCCCGGGGAGUCAGGUCCCAGAGGUGUCUCCCAUCAUGCCAAGCAUUUUUCGUUGAAGAUGAUGAGCUGCAAUGGAGAUACGGAGGAUAUAAAGUAAAAUAAUAAUUAUUGUAAUGUGUGAUCAGCCAAAGUUCAGUCUGUUGAACAUUGUGUGGAAUGUUUAAGGAUUCAUGAUUAAAAAUGCGAUGUAUAAAAUGGUAAAAUAAACUAGGGCUGCAACAAAUGAUUAUUUUUAUUAUCGGUUAUGCGCCUAUUAUUUUCUUGAUUUUAUAGAUUAAUCUAUAAAAUAUAAGAAAA
This is a long non-coding RNA of Siniperca chuatsi (mandarin fish), 518 nucleotides long. RefSeq lists it as uncharacterized. Lineage: Eukaryota; Metazoa; Chordata; Actinopteri; Centrarchiformes; Sinipercidae. The record is from RefSeq and is a predicted model, not a curated record. The transcript has 3 exons.